AGAAUAAACCAGGAUAAAGGAGAAUAAAAGAGAAUAAACCAGGAUAAAGGAGAAUAAAGGAGAAUAAACCAGGAUAAAGGAGAAUAAACCAAGAUAAAGGAGAAUAAAAGAGUAAUCCAGGAUAAAGGAGAAUAAACCAGGACAAAGGAGAAUAAAGGAGGAUAAAUGAGAAUAAAGGGAGAAUAAAGGAGAAUAAACCAGGAUAAAGGAGAAUAAACCAGAACAAAGAAUAGAGGAGUAUAAACCAGGAUAAAUGACAAUAAAGGAGAAUAAAAGAGAAUAAAGUACAUUAAAGGAGAAUAAAGGAGACUAAACCAGGAUAAAGGAGAUUAAAGUAUAAUAAAGUAUAAUAAAAGAGAAUAACCUAGGACAAUGGACAAAUGAGAAUAAAGAAUGAAAAAAACAGGAUAAAGGAGAAUAAACCAGAACAAAUGAGAAUAAACAAGGAUAAAGGAGAAUAAACCAGGAAAAAGGAAAAUAAAUUAGGAUAAAUGAGAAUAAAGGAGAAUAAACCAGAAUAAAUGAGAAUAAAGGAGAAUAAACCAGAAUAAAUGAGAAUAAAGGAGAAUAAACCAGAAUAAAUGAGAAUAAAGGAGAAUAGGUUUUGGUGAUUCUGAGACAAUAGUUCGUUAUCAAUAAAAUGUCACAAUAUAAUUUGAUUUUGCUGCUGGGGGACAAGGAGAACCGCAGCUCCGCUAAAACCAUUGACAACUAUAUUCUGUUUUCAACGCAUUGUUAAGUAAAUGUUAACUAUUUGGUUGUAAUAGUAUCAUGUCUUGAAGAACGAAGUCAGAACUACACAUUUCUGAUUAUUCCCCAUUUAGCUCCAUCAGAGUUUUACAGCAAUCAGUAAACAUCAAUUGAUCAUGUUUUUUCAGAUAUGUGAAGGUAUCCAGAUUCAUUUGGUAUGUAGCUAGUUAGCUAAAGCAAACAACAUGUGUCAUUUAGCCUGUUUCAUCAGAGAUUAGGGUUUUGGAAAGAGUUUUACAUUGUCAGUCAGAAUACUGUCAUCACCACUAUAGAUGGCAAGCAAAUCAAACAAUAUUUGGAUAUAGCCAUCUAGUUUAUCCCCUGAAAGUUAGCUUGUUAACUAGCCAUAUUGCCGCGAUCUGUUGUUAGCUAGCUAGCCAAUUUGACGUGGUCCAUCAAUAUCAUGUCUGUCAGCAGCAAUUGGGAUUAAACACUCUUAUAAAACAAUGUUGAAAAGGGGAUAAUGUUAGCUAACUUUGCUAGGUAGGCCUAUGUUGGUUGGAGAAAAAAGUACACUAUGUCUACUUACCACUAUGUUUAGCCAACUGUACCAAGUUUCUACCGGUAGCUUGCAAAGUAAACAUUAUCAGCUAACAGUGACGUUACAUUGGCAUAUGCGCCAUUCUGCUGCUUUGACAGCCAGACCCCAGAAAGGAUGGGAAAUUAACCUAAACCACUCAUACUGGUCAGACAUAGUUAUUUUAUAUCACUCAAAUAUCCAAUUAAUGGUGGUCAAUAUUGAGAGAUAUCGUGAGGCUACCCUGACGUAGUUAAAAAUACAUGAUCAAUUGAUGUUUAUUGAUCAUUUAAAAACAUGCAGUUACUUGCUGUAUAACUCUGAUGAUAGAGCUAAAUGUGCUAAAUUGUUUUGCAUGGAAUAGUCUAAAAUGUGUAGUUCUGACUAUGCUCUUCAAGAUGAGAUAUUACAACCAAAUAGUUAACAUUCCCUUAACAAUCCCUUGCAAACGGCACACAGUUGUCAAUGGUUUUAGUGGAGCUGCGGGUCUCCUUGCCCCUCAGCAGGCUAAUCGAACGCGCUGCACCUUUAUUGAGACGUUUUGUUGAUAACGACCUAUAAGGCCUCAGACUGAGAAUGUCCCAGUGUUCUAACUCUCUCAGCCAGUGAGAAGACACUGCUGCUGCUCACACUGCCAGACGGAACUGGACCAACCCGGGCUGAACUGGACCAGACCGAACAAGACCACACCAGACAGAGCCAGCUCCCCUCCCCCAGUAGACACAGGGCCAAUCUGAAAUGGCACCCUACUCCCUAUCAGGCUCUGGCCAAAAUAACUACACUAU
RNAcentral lists this long non-coding RNA (2052 nucleotides) under Salmo salar (Atlantic salmon). RNAcentral describes it as "lncRNA (ENSSSAG00000120714.1)". Lineage: Eukaryota; Metazoa; Chordata; Actinopteri; Salmoniformes; Salmonidae. The record is from RNAcentral.